Molecule: long non-coding RNA, 2421 nt
Organism: Lagenorhynchus albirostris (white-beaked dolphin)
Lineage: Eukaryota; Metazoa; Chordata; Mammalia; Artiodactyla; Delphinidae
Exons: 5
Source: RefSeq, a predicted model, not a curated record
CGAGGCGGGCCCUCACCUUCCGGCACCAGGCCGUGGUUUUCAUACUGGUCCAGCUGGACGAGGGUGGGGUUCCGGCAGCCGUGGGUUGCGCGGAGCCGGCAGGUGGUCUCUGCCUUCCAGGUGAUCCCAUAAAGUGGAUACUGUUACUAGCCCUAUUUUACAAUCUGCCCAAGAAGGGGUGAGGCCUGGAAGUGAGGCGCGCAGAGAUGGGACGUACAACACCAAGUCUGGAGAGGGCGCCUCCAGAUGCUUCUUUGCAGGGCUUGCUGCCUCUUGAACCAUGAACUUUCUCUCAAAAGCCAUCUGGUUUCUCGUCUCGAAAACAUCCCACGACAGCUCUGAGUGCUACAAACCAGGCUGGGUCAUCUGCUGCUGCUGGCUUCCAGAUAUUGCUCCAAACGUUUCUGCAAGGCUGGUGACGUCCCAAGACACUGAGACUUUAGAUGCCCACUGCCCAAUAUUUGGUAGUGCUCACAAAACAUGUCGAUGGAGAAAAAAGUAUGACUGCAACACGGGGCAGCAAUAGAUCUUCUCAUGCAGCAAAGUUCCUGUCUACCAACAUGAGUUGCAGUCUAAAGCCACAGUGAAUUUUGUGACAGUAACAUUAACAAUCCAAUGGAAUAGAAACAUUCUAGUCUUCCUAUAAACGUACUGAACAUGGAGAACAGAAAUGAUUCUAGGCAUGACUUUGGUUUUUUUAAUUCUUCUUGAGGGAGAUAUAAAGAGCACAGCAUCUUUGAAUUCUUGAGGCACUGUCACAAUACGCCAUGUGUUAUGGAAAAGCUGACACACAAAUAUGGGUCAUUAUUACUCUCCUUCUAAGAACUGCAAGAGAGAGAGUGAGAGAGAGAGAGAGAGAGAAGCUGCAGCAAUCCAGACCAGACGAUAUGCUAACACCAAACAGAAGAAGAAACGAUCAUAUACACACUCACUAUACACUGGACUCCUUACUCUGUACGUACCCUCUGUUCUUUGGUCCAGGUCCCUCAUGAGCUGGAAGUUUCUCUGCAGUUCAAAUGGGAGGUUUUCAAUACCUGGGGAGAAGAGGAGAAAUUGAGCCUCCCUGGACGUCCUAGGCCCUACCGCUGCUUUUAAAGAACAGGUCCAAAACAACACUCGGUUUUCCCUCCUUCAAACCGCUGGAUUAUGUUACAGCACUCAUCGUUCUGCUCUCAGGAGAGGUCACGUCCGCCUCUUUCCACAACUAACCCCUCCAUCUCUACACAGCUUUCCCACCCUUCCUCCCUUCAGUGACUUUACAAAUCAGCCUUUCCCUUUCCUUUCUUUCAAUCUCUGUCUCCAAGCUCCUUGCCCUCAACUUACAAAUACCCUCCUGGCAUCCUCCACCACUCAUCACACACACACUUCCAACCUGCUCUCCAUACAGUAGCCAGAAUUGUUCUUUAAAAAAUGCAGAUCUGGGCUUCCCUGGUGGCGCAGUGGUUGGGGGUCCGCCUGCCGAUGCAGGGGACACGGGUUCGUGCCCCGGUCCGGGAAGAUCCCACAUGCCGCGGAGCGGCUGGGCCCAUGAGCCAUGGCCGCUGAGCCUGCGCGUCCGGAGCCUGUGCUCCGCAACGGGAGAGGCCACAACGGUGAGAGGCCCGCGUACCGCAAAAAAAAAAAAAAAAAAAAAAAAAAAGCAGAUCUGCUCAAGUCACUGUCCUGUUUAUAACCCUCGAGUAACCUCCUACUGCAAUAUUCCUAUUGCUAUUCUGCACUUUCUGGCCCUUGCUUCCCUCACACCAGCCCUAACUCACAUCAGUCCCUGUCUGUGCUCUCUCUCUGCUGUAUCAUACUGGCCUCCACUGAGUGCCUUGAACUUGCCAGUGCUCUUCAUGACACUUGGCUUUUCACACGCUACUCUCUCUGCCCAGAAUGCCCUGCCCAGUCUUCUUCAUCCCACCUCCACCAUACCUCUUGGCCUUCAAAUUCCUGUUCAUUCUUCAAAGUUCAGCUCAACCCUGACUGCCCCAAACUCCAACAAGUGCCCUGGAUUAUGCUGUCAUGCUAUUUUUUUUUUUAAAUACGUAUUUCGCUGCGUGGGGUCUUAGUUGCAGUACACGGGAUCUUUGUUGCUGCGUGCGGGACCUUUUAGUUGUGGCAUGUGGGAUCUUGUAUUUGCAGCGUGUGGGAUCUAGCUCCCUCCCUGACCACGGAUCGAACCCAGGCCCCCUGCAUUGGGAGUGCGGAGUCUUAACCACUGGACCACCAGGGAAGUCCCUAUCGUGGUAUUCUGUGUCUACCCUUUUGGGCUCUUAUCCAAUGUACUUACAUAAGUAAUUGUGUAAUUAGUUAUUUGGUAUGUCUCCCCAGCUCUCCAGAAGGGUUAGAUGCAUCUGUCUUCUUCCCUAUGUCUCUAGAGUUUAGAACUAUGAUGUGCAUACAGAGGAUCCUCAAUAAAUACUUGAAUAAGUGCAUGAA